Molecule: long non-coding RNA, 2307 nt
Filed under: Panax ginseng (ginseng)
Lineage: Eukaryota; Viridiplantae; Streptophyta; Magnoliopsida; Apiales; Araliaceae
Description: long non-coding RNA (PGIN_LNC012820)
Source: RNAcentral
UAUCAUAUUUACUUUGAUCAUCGGAUUGGUCUUCAAUGAUCUGUCUCCUUAAUACCAAUAUGUGAACUGUGCUUUCCUAAUAUGAGAACAAUAAUUAGGUCACUAAGAAGUUUUAUUGGACAACUAUCCUACAAACAUAAAAUUUCAACCCUCCUCUCUAGUUUGGUUAAUAGGCAUAUAACUAAAGUUAUAAGCUGAUUACUAUUGUAAUUAAAAUAUCUGACAAAACAGACUUAGUAAAAUCAAAAAUCUUUUUCAAAAUUUCUCCUUACGAAACCCAUCUCCUAUAAAUUUAUAAAUUUGGUAAUCUCUGUGAUUGUGUUCGGCAAUGACUUAUAACUUGCUCAAACCAACUUAUAAGUCAUUUUAUACUAUUUAAGUGUUUGACAACAACUUAAUUUUUGACUUAUUUUUUAAUUUAUGUAAUUAUUAAUAAGAAACAAUUUCUAGCUUAUUUAAAAAUGACUUAUAAGUUAUUCCUAAUAAGUUAGUUUGACCAAAUAUAAUAUUUAUUUUGCCUCCUCUUCUAUUUUACUAAAUUACAUUUUUAUCCUUCUAACCUAAUAUCUAAUCUCUUUUCCAACGGGUAAAAUGCAAAUUUUGCCCCUGAACUUUAGGUGUUUUUGAGUAUUGAGCAUGCCACAUGGACGUUAAAUUCAAAUUUCAUCAAAAAAAUAUUAGUCACAAGACCACCCAAGCAAUAAAGGUUUGGUUGUUUAGUUUUCCUAACAAAUAAAUUAUAUACUUGAUCAAUCCAUUCUCCAAUAGAAAAAAAUAAUAAAAUUUUAAUCUUAAGAUCAAUUAAGUUUAUAGAAUUAGAAAAUAAAAUAAAAUAUUUAUAAUAAAAUAUGCUUAAAAAGUACAAGAAAAUAAUGACACUUAAACAAAUUAUAAAGUUGCAAUUAAAAAACUAAUAAAAAUUAUAUACACAAAUUAAAAAAUUACACUUAGAAAAACAAAUAUAAAUAGUAUUACAAAUUAAAUAAUUACACUUAAAAAAACUAAUGAAAUUAUUUAAACAAAUUAAAAAUUACUUACAAAAAACUAAUAAGAUUAUUUAAACAAAUUAACAGGGAAUCAAAAACUGAUAAUGUAAAUUUGAAAAUGCUAUCAACCAUCAAACAACCGCCAAAAUAAGGACAUGCAUCUUUUCAUUAAUUAUAAAUAUCACCUUGGCUAAACUUAUUUACACAAAUUAAAAAAAUUACACUUAGAAAAACAAAUAUAAAUAUUAGUACAAAUUAAAUAAUUACACUUAAAAAAACUAAUAAAUUAUUUAGAAAAUACACUUAAAAAAACUAUUAAAAUAAUUUAAACAAAUUAACGAAAUCAAAAACUGAUAAUGUAAAUCUGAAAAUGCUAUCAACCAUCAAACAGCAGCCAAAAUAAGGACAUGCAUCUUUCAAUUAAUUAUAAAUAUCACCUUGGCUAAUGCUUAGAGCUUGAUUUAUUGGAUUUGAUUUUCUAAUCUUCGCUGCCCAGUUCGUCGGCAUCCAUGGAUGUUGCUGGGCUGAUGCGGAUUUUGGUGUUCCCUUCCAAUUUUGACUCGAUCUGCUCCUUUUUGAUGCUCUAUGGUCAGCUUUGGUGUUUUCUGAUCGGAGGACCUUUGCCGGUUUCUGGAUUUGUUUUCGUAGCAGCUGGGACGCUCAUGUUUCCAGUUGAUGCUUGUGUUUCACACGCGUGCUUGAGGCUGGGGUCUCAGUUGCUGAUGUUCCCACUUUCACAUAACCAGCUGCAGAUGAUGGAUACACGUGGGUCUGCCUCAAACAUGGGUCCCACCUUAUUUCAAAUGCAGAUCAUGUUCAAAUUCAGAAUUUAAUGUUCAACAAACCCAAUUGAAACCCUAAUUUGUAGAACCCAAAUCAAAACCCAAUAUCCAGAAAUUUGAUUAUAUACAUACAUAUAUAGAGAGAUCUAGAGAGAAAGAUGUAUAGAGAUAGAUUUGCUCAUCUUGGUUUUCUUAUCUCAAUCGCUUGCCCAAUCUAGUUCUUCCUAUUUCAAUUGUUUGCUCAAAAUCAGAAUCUAUAAAACUUCUUGCAUUCUUUGUGGAUAAUGAAAGAGCUUUUGAUGGUGAAGGUGCAAGGGUGGUUAGUGCCAUUGGUGAGGAAGAAACCAAAGAAGUAAGAAGAUGAAGGGGCUGUUGUUAUAUUAUUUUUUUAGUUUGUUUAGUUAAUUACUUAAGUUUCUGUUAUGUUUAGUUAGUUUAAUUUAUAUUUUGUUUUUUUAUUGAAAAAAAUAACUAUAUUUUGUAUUUUUGUUGGAGUAAUUGAUUGAUUAAGUAUUAAAGUUAUUAAUUUUUUAAGUGUA